RNAcentral lists this ribosomal RNA (289 nucleotides) under uncultured Rhodoferax sp. RNAcentral's name for it is "partial 16S ribosomal RNA". It matches the Rfam family "Bacterial small subunit ribosomal RNA", at positions 1091 to 1382 of the family's 1533-position model. Lineage: Bacteria; Pseudomonadati; Pseudomonadota; Betaproteobacteria; Burkholderiales; Comamonadaceae. The record is from RNAcentral.
AACGAGCGCAACCCUUGUCAUUAGUUGCUACAUUCAGUUGGGCACUCUAAUGAGACUGCCGGUGACCAAGCCGGAGGAAGGUGGGAUGACGUCAAGUCCUCAUGGCCCUUAUAGGUGGGGCUACACACGUCAUACAAUGGCUGGUACAAAGGGUUGCCAACCCGCGAGGGGGAGCCAAUCCCAUAAAGCCAGUCGUAGUCCGGAUCGUAGUCUGCAACUCGACUACGUGAAGUCGGAAUCGCUAGUAAUCGUGGAUCAGAAUGUCACGGUGAAUACGUUCCCGGGUCUU